RNAcentral lists this ribosomal RNA (509 nucleotides) under uncultured bacterium. RNAcentral describes it as "bacterial SSU rRNA". It matches the Rfam family "Bacterial small subunit ribosomal RNA", at positions 15 to 518 of the family's 1533-position model. The record is from RNAcentral.
GAUUCUGGCUCAGAACGAACGCUGGCGGCGCGUUUAAGCAUGCAAGUCGAGCGGCAAGGCCUCGGGCCCCUAGAGCGGCGGACGGGUGAGUAACACGUGGACAAUCUGCCCCCCGGCCCGGGAUAGCCCAGGGAAACCUGGAUUAAUACCGGAUGAGACGGGACCCGCGAUGGCGGGAUCCGGGAAAGGCGCUGCGGCGCCGCCGGGGGAUGAGUCUGCGUCCCAUUAGCUAGACGGCGGGGUAACGGCCCACCGUGGCGACGGUGGGUAGCCGGCCUGAGAGGGUGGACGGCCACAUUGGAACUGAGACACGGUCCAGACUCCUACGGGAGGCAGCAGCUAAGAAUCUUCCGCAAUGGGCGAAAGCCUGACGGAGCGACGCCGCGUGAACGAAGAAGGCCGUGAGGUUGUAAAGUUCUUUCGGGAGGGGGAACAACCGUGGCAGGGAAUGGCCGCGGGAUGACGUGAAUCCCGGAAUAAGCCCCGGCUAACUACGUGCCAGCAGCAGC